Epithele typhae is the source of this 94-nucleotide non-coding RNA. The record is from the annotation of a RefSeq genome assembly. Lineage: Eukaryota; Fungi; Basidiomycota; Agaricomycetes; Polyporales; Epitheliaceae.
GGCCUGGUGGUCUAGUAGUAUGAUUCCUUCUUAGGGUUUCCUGAUAUCGUGUCACCAUUGGAGGAGGUCCCGGGUUCAAUUCCCGGCCAGGCCC